UGAGUACGAGAUGCUACGGCAUCGAAGCAGUCUAUGUCAUACUUCCAAGAAAAGCUUGCACUGUCAUAAACAAAGAAUGCCUGUACCAUAACCGACACAGGUGGGUAGGUAGAGUAUACUAAGAGCGCGAGAUAACUCUCUCUAAGGAACUCGGCAAAAUGACUCCGUAACUUCGGGAGAAGGAGUGCCUUAUUUCUAAGGUUGCAAUAACAAGAUCCAAGCAACUGUUUACCAAAAACACAGGUCUCCGCUAAGUCGUAAGACGAUGUAUGGGGGCUGACGCCUGCCCAGUGCCAGAAGGUUAAAGAAGUUGGUUAGCAUUAGCGAAGCUGAUAACUGAAGCCCUGGUAACGGCGGCCGUAACUAUAACGGUCCUAAGGUAGCGAAAUUCCUUGUCGGGUAAGUUCCGACCCGCACGAAAGGCGUAAUGAUUUGGAUACUGUCUCGGAGAGGGGCUCGGUGAAAUAGACUUGUCUGUGAAGAUGCGGACUACCUGCACCUGGACAGAAAGACCCUAUGAAGCUUUACUGUAACUUGAGAUUGAAAUUGGACUUUAUUUGCGCAGUAUAGGUGGGAGGCGUUGAGAAUAAUCUUGCGGGAUUGUUGGAGCCAUCAGUGAGAUACCACUCUUGUAAUGUUAGAUUUCUAACUUUGUAUCAUUAUCUGGUCAAAGAACAGUUUCAGGCGGGCAGUUUGACUGGGGCGGUCGCCUCCCAAAGGGUAACGGAGGCGCACAAAGGUUUCCUCUGAACGGGUAGAAAUCGUAUCUAGAGUGUAAAGGCAUAAGGAAGCUUGACUGUGAGACCUACAAGUCGAGCAGGGACGAAAGUCGGUCUUAGUGAUCUGACGGUGCUGAGUGGAAGGGCCGUCACUCAACGGAUAAAAGUUACUCUAGGAUAACAGGCUGAUCUCCCCCAAGAGUUCACAUCGACGGGGAGGUUUGGCACCUCGAUGUCGGCUCAUCGCAUCCUGGGGCGGUAGUCCGUCCCAAGGGUUGGGCUGUUCGCCCAUGAAAGCGGUACGCGAGCUGGGUUCAGAACGUCGUGAGACAGUUCGGUCCAUAUCCGGUGUAGGCGUUAGAAUAUUGAGAGGAGCCUUCUCUAGUACGAGAGGACCGAGAAGGACAUACCUCUGGUGUACCAGUUAUCGUGCCAACGGUAAACGCUGGGUAGCUAUGUAUGGAGUGGAUAACCGCUGAAAGCAUCUAAGUGGGAAGCCCACCUCAAGAUAAGUAUUCUCACC
This 1242-nucleotide ribosomal RNA is filed under the name metagenome. Its description in RNAcentral is "bacterial LSU rRNA". It matches the Rfam family "Bacterial large subunit ribosomal RNA", at positions 1564 to 2818 of the family's 2925-position model. The record is from RNAcentral.